Molecule: unclassified non-coding RNA, 336 nt
Filed under: soil metagenome
Description: partial contains 5.8S ribosomal RNA, internal transcribed spacer 2, and large subunit ribosomal RNA
Rfam family: 5.8S ribosomal RNA (bases 1-120)
Source: RNAcentral
GAUGAAGAACGUAGCGAAAUGCGAUAAGUAGUGUGAAUUGCAGAAUUCAGUGAAUCAUCGAAUCUUUGAACGCACAUUGCGCCCCUUGGUAUUCCAUGGGGCAUGCCUGUUCGAGCGUCAUUUGUACCUUCAAGCUUUGCUUGGUGUUGGGUGUUUGUCUCGCCUUUGCGUGUAGACUCGCCUUAAAAUAAUUGGCAGCCGGCGUAUUGAUUUCGGAGCGCAGUACAUCUCGCGCUUUGCACUCAUAACGACAGCGUCCAAAAGUACAUUUUACACUCUUGACCUCGGAUCAGGUAGGGAUACCCGCUAAACUUAAGCAUAUCAAUAAGCGGAGGA